This 939-nucleotide ribosomal RNA is filed under the name Klebsiella aerogenes. RNAcentral's name for it is "bacterial SSU rRNA". It matches the Rfam family "Bacterial small subunit ribosomal RNA", at positions 594 to 1533 of the family's 1533-position model. Lineage: Bacteria; Pseudomonadati; Pseudomonadota; Gammaproteobacteria; Enterobacterales; Enterobacteriaceae. The record is from RNAcentral.
GUGAAAUCCCCGGGCUCAACCUGGGAACUGCAUUCGAAACUGGCAGGCUAGAGUCUUGUAGAGGGGGGUAGAAUUCCAGGUGUAGCGGUGAAAUGCGUAGAGAUCUGGAGGAAUACCGGUGGCGAAGGCGGCCCCCUGGACAAAGACUGACGCUCAGGUGCGAAAGCGUGGGGAGCAAACAGGAUUAGAUACCCUGGUAGUCCACGCCGUAAACGAUGUCGACUUGGAGGUUGUGCCCUUGAGGCGUGGCUUCCGGAGCUAACGCGUUAAGUCGACCGCCUGGGGAGUACGGCCGCAAGGUUAAAACUCAAAUGAAUUGACGGGGGCCCGCACAAGCGGUGGAGCAUGUGGUUUAAUUCGAUGCAACGCGAAGAACCUUACCUACUCUUGACAUCCAGAGAACUUAGCAGAGAUGCUUUGGUGCCUUCGGGAACUCUGAGACAGGUGCUGCAUGGCUGUCGUCAGCUCGUGUUGUGAAAUGUUGGGUUAAGUCCCGCAACGAGCGCAACCCUUAUCCUUUGUUGCCAGCGGUCCGGCCGGGAACUCAAAGGAGACUGCCAGUGAUAAACUGGAGGAAGGUGGGGAUGACGUCAAGUCAUCAUGGCCCUUACGAGUAGGGCUACACACGUGCUACAAUGGCAUAUACAAAGAGAAGCGACCUCGCGAGAGCAAGCGGACCUCAUAAAGUAUGUCGUAGUCCGGAUUGGAGUCUGCAACUCGACUCCAUGAAGUCGGAAUCGCUAGUAAUCGUAGAUCAGAAUGCUACGGUGAAUACGUUCCCGGGCCUUGUACACACCGCCCGUCACACCAUGGGAGUGGGUUGCAAAAGAAGUAGGUAGCUUAACCUUCGGGAGGGCGCUUACCACUUUGUGAUUCAUGACUGGGGUGAAGUCGUAACAAGGUAACCGUAGGGGAACCUGCGGUUGGAUCACCUCCUUA